GAAAGCAAUAUGAUUGUGAGCUGAAUUGAA
RNAcentral lists this non-coding RNA (30 nucleotides) under Cricetulus griseus (Chinese hamster). Lineage: Eukaryota; Metazoa; Chordata; Mammalia; Rodentia; Cricetidae. The record is from RNAcentral.